AUUGAACGCUGGCGGCAGGCCUAACACAUGCAAGUCGAGCGGAUGAAGGGAGCUUGCUCCUGGAUUCAGCGGCGGACGGGUGAGUAAUGCUUAGGAAUCUGCCUGGUAGUGGGGGAUAACGUCCGGAAACGGGCGCUAAUACCGCAUACGUCCUGAGGGAGAAAGUGGGGGAUCUUCGGACCUCACGCUAUCAGAUGAGCCUAGGUCGGAUUAGCUAGUUGGUGGGGUAAAGGCCUACCAAGGCGACGAUCCGUAACUGGUCUGAGAGGAUGAUCAGUCACACUGGAACUGAGACACGGUCCAGACUCCUACGGGAGGCAGCAGUGGGGAAUAUUGGAUAAUGGGCGAAAGCCUGAUCCAGCCAUGCCGCGUGUGUGAAGAAGGUCUUCGGAUUGUAAAGCACUUUAAGUUGGGAGGAAGGGCAGUAAGUUAAUACCUUGCUGUUUUGACGUUACCAACAGAAUAAGCACCGGCUAACUUCGUG
RNAcentral lists this ribosomal RNA (484 nucleotides) under uncultured bacterium. Its description in RNAcentral is "partial 16S ribosomal RNA". It matches the Rfam family "Bacterial small subunit ribosomal RNA", at positions 30 to 507 of the family's 1533-position model. The record is from RNAcentral.